GAACUUGCAUGAAGAUUUAAAUAAGGAGAAAGAGGACUAAUGCAUAUUUUAGCCUCAAGACUAGUUUUAGCCUCUCUUUAGUCAGGGGUGCUUGAAACUUUAGCCUCUUAAAGAGACUAGUUUUAGUCAGACUAGUUUUAGUCUCUUGGAUCCAAGCACCCUCUUAGAUGCUUUUUUUUGCCUUGGCAUCCUUCAUGUGUAUGCCUUGUCUUAUCGUAACCUCAGAUGCAUUUAUUAAACUUUGGGACACUGAAUUAAAGAAGUAACAACAACGAUAGUUGGAUCUGUCCUCGAAACAUACAAAUAAAAAUUGUGACAUGAAAUGAAUGAAAAAUGAUAAUGAUCUAACAAUCUCCAAAGAUGAAUACUAGUCGUUGGCCAUCUCUAUCUAUAUAUACCACUCCAUUUCUCCAUCUUCAGCCAAGUAGUAGCAUCGAUCUCAAAACACUUCUUGCCACAUAUUAUAAUACCUGGUAGAUAUAUAAGGUAAGAAUAGGAGCAACGCGAAAAUGCACUAGGGAAUAGAAGACAUCAGGAACCAUCAGACUACGGUGGCGAGCCAUCUAAACCUCCUUGCGAGUAUUGUUGCGAUAUUAUCUGAGAGAUUAUGCGAGGUGUAGCUGAUGCUGCUGUUAAAUUGUGAUCUGAAUUCUAAUGAGGUACACUCUGAUCCUAGAUGUAGUGCGAGCGGUGUAAGGCGUUGAAUUGGCGCCGAUGUAGUACCGCUGCCAUUCUUGUGAUCGGCAGGAGAAUGAUUCUGCAUGCAGCUGUUGUACGUCACCUCUAAUCGGAGGGCAUCAAGCCUAGCACCAAUCUUUCGAGACGCAGCUGAUCUACUCUCAAUAUUUGGACUACAAACACAUGUAUACAUGAAUAACCGCAGGCCCUGCUACUGCUCCAAGUUGCCACCGAAUCCAAAAAAAACAAAUCAAGGGAGAACACAUUUUGGAAUGACUGAAUGAAUUUAGCAGACCUCGUGAAUCAACACAAGGCCUCAAGUCUUGAGAAGAACGAAGUUGAUCUGAUCAGCAAAGUACUACUUCAGCAGCGCAAGGUAUAAGAGCAUUACAAUCUUACCCCUUAUACCCGUCUUAAACGUUUGGGCAGGCCUACGGUCGCUGACAGGUCAUAAAAAAUCAACCCAGCCGGGACCCUCAAACGGGCUUCAAACGACGGGCCGGGCUGACGAGCACCCUCUUAUCCAACUCAAAUAUGGAUGGAUAUGUGGGAGCCCGGACACUCCCGGGCACGCCUGCCAUUUCGGCCUGACAGCGUAGCCCCACCUGGACUCACCCUUGAGGUCCAACAGACGCCUUCACCGUCACCGCGGUGUGCACGCCAUGUGGCAUCACUCCGGCUCGCCGCCCAAAGCCAUAGCAUCGUGUUAGCCAUAAUCUUGACUUAGUGUAUGCUGGCCAGGUCCUGUGCCAUUGUGGAGAUGGAGCACGACCAGCGGAUGUGAUGAUGCAGCUAGUACGUUAGUUAGUGCAUGCGCGUGUGCAUGUAUAGUUGGUUAGCCAGGCCGUGGGUUAGUGGCCCGUAAGGUGUCCCGGUGGUUAGCUCGUGAGUGGCACAAACUCUGGGUAGUUUGUUGCUACGGCUGAGUGCGUGGGUGUACUACUUAAGAGGAUCUGGUAUUGUGUAGUUGGAUGUAGAGUACCAGGAGAGAAAACAUGUACUCUCCGAUGGUCUCUCGUGUGGGGACCGGUGUGUUACCGUGUGCCGGUCUGUUGCUAAGCCAUGGCGUCGGUAUGUGCCGAGUCGAGGGAGAGGGGCCUAAGGAAGAUGUAGUCUUCGUCGGAACCGUGAUGUGUGUCGGAUCGAUGUGAGAGUUCUUUCGAGGUAGUGCUGCGGGUGUGCGUGUGUACCUCCAUGUAUUUGUGUUCGAGGGAAUUGAGAUGAAUAGGGGCCAACAUACAGGCUAGUCGUCGAC
RNAcentral lists this long non-coding RNA (1933 nucleotides) under Hordeum vulgare. RNAcentral describes it as "long non-coding RNA (HVUL_LNC017309)". Lineage: Eukaryota; Viridiplantae; Streptophyta; Magnoliopsida; Poales; Poaceae. The record is from RNAcentral.